AAGUCGUAACAAGGUCUCCGUUGGUGAACCAGCGGAGGGAUCAUUACUGAGUACUACACUCUCUACCCUUUGUGAACUAUUAUACCUGUUGCUUCGGCGGCGCCCGCAAGGGUGCCCGCCGGUCUCAUCAGAAUCUCUGUUUUCGAACCCGACGAUACUUCUGAGUGUUCUUAGCGAACUGUCAAAACUUUUAACAACGGAUCUCUUGGCUCCAGCAUCGAUGAAGAACGCAGCGAAACGCGAUAUGUAAUGUGAAUUGCAGAAUUCAGUGAAUCAUCGAAUCUUUGAACGCACAUGGCGCCUUCCAGUAUCCUGGGAGGCAUGCCUGUCCGAGCGUCGUUUCAACCCUCGAGCCCCUGUGGCCCGGCGUUGGGGAUCUGCCACGGCAGGCCCCUAAAACCAGUGGCGGACCCGAAGGGCCCUCUCCUUUGCGCAGUAGCAUUCGCCUCGCAUCGGGAGUCCUCGGCGUCCUGCCUCUAAACCCCCCACAAGCCCGCAUCGGCGGCACCAAGGUUGACCUCGGAUCAGGUAGGAAUACCCGCUGAACUUAA
Molecule: ribosomal RNA, 551 nt
Filed under: uncultured fungus
Lineage: Eukaryota; Fungi
Description: eukaryotic LSU rRNA
Rfam family: 5.8S ribosomal RNA (bases 186-339)
Source: RNAcentral